GACGAACGCUGGCGGCGUGCUUAACACAUGCAAGUCGAACGGAAAGGCCCUGCAGUUUUGUGGUGCUCGAGUGGCGAACGGGUGAGUAACACGUGAGUAACCUGCCCUUGACUUUGGGAUAACUUCAGGAAACUGGGGCUAAUACCGGAUAGGAGCUCCUGCUGCAUGGUGGGGGUGGGAAAGUUUCGGCGGGUGGAGAUGGACUCGCGGCUUAUCAGCUUGUUGGUGGGGUAGUGGCUUACGCAGGCUUUGACGGGUAGCCGGCCUGAGAGGGUGACCGGCCACAUUGGGACUGAGAUACGGCCCAGACUCCUACGGGAGGCAGCAGUGGGGAAUAUUGCACAAUGGGCGGAAGCCUGAUGCAGCAACGCCGCGUGCGGGAUGACGGCCUUCGGGUUGUAAACCGCUUUCGCCUGUGACGAAGCGUGAGUGACGGUAAUGGGUAAAGAAGCACCGGCUAACUACGUG
Molecule: ribosomal RNA, 468 nt
Filed under: uncultured bacterium
Lineage: Bacteria
Description: partial 16S ribosomal RNA
Rfam family: Bacterial small subunit ribosomal RNA
Source: RNAcentral